UACAGAGACUGCGAGCGUUAUUCGGAUUCACUGGGCGUAAAGGGUGCGCAGGUGGCUAGGUGAGUUAGGCGUGAAAGCCCGGGGCUUAACCCCGGAAUUGCACCUAAAACUACUUGGCUAGAGCAUUGGAGAGGGGAGCAGAAUUCAUGGUGUAGCAGUGAAAUGCGUAGAUAUCAUGAGGAAUACCAGAGGCGAAGGCGGCUCCCUGGACAAUUGCUGACACUCAGGCACGAAAGCGUGGGGAGCAGAAGGG
This 253-nucleotide ribosomal RNA is filed under the name uncultured bacterium. RNAcentral's name for it is "partial 16S ribosomal RNA". It matches the Rfam family "Bacterial small subunit ribosomal RNA", at positions 524 to 776 of the family's 1533-position model. The record is from RNAcentral.